This 589-nucleotide long non-coding RNA is filed under the name Saimiri boliviensis boliviensis (Bolivian squirrel monkey). RNAcentral describes it as "lncRNA (ENSSBOG00000036574.1)". Lineage: Eukaryota; Metazoa; Chordata; Mammalia; Primates; Cebidae. The record is from RNAcentral.
GGACAGCUCAGUUAAAGUGAACAAGCAUAAAUUUGUGGCAGACUCAAUCAGUGCAGCUUUCUCUAGCAGCACUCUUCUGCCUAGCUAGGAAAUAUUUAGAAGUUCAAGGUCCAUGGGAAAUUUUAGGCAAUAAGUGAAGGCACUGCUGAGUCGGCUGACCAUGAAAGCAAGCUAGACGGAAGAAAUAAAGUUGGAAGUUAACAGACAAGAAGAAAAAGAGCAGAGUCAGGGUUGUGAUGAGAAGAAAGACCAGGAUUAGUAUGAGAAAGAAAUUUAGGAUGGCUGACAUUAAAGCGAUGGUGGAAGAGGCAAGAUACUCAAAAUUGGAGAUUCAUAGAUGAUGAGAUCCAAGGAUGGAGAGGAGUUGGGGAUCAUUGGUGUCAAGGAGAGCCAUCACAGAACACUGUUUGACUUCUCCCAGCCUUUUGAAAUCUCACUGUCUACAAGGAGUCUUACAAUACAAGGUAAGAAACCUCUAUACUACAGUCUCAAGAAUAUGCAAGUAUUUUUCCAGGCUUCUGGCUGUCUUAAAUCACACUUUCUAGAGAAUUGCCCCUUUCCAGUAUCUCUCCUUAGACCAAAAGUUAAC